Molecule: transfer RNA, 66 nt
Filed under: Radix auricularia
Lineage: Eukaryota; Metazoa; Mollusca; Gastropoda; Lymnaeidae
Description: tRNA-Glu
Source: RNAcentral
UCUUUUUUUGAAGUGUUUCACGUUACCUUUUCAAGAUAAAAAUAGUCUUUGACUCGUUUUUAAAGC